This 432-nucleotide ribosomal RNA is filed under the name uncultured bacterium. Its description in RNAcentral is "partial 16S ribosomal RNA". It matches the Rfam family "Bacterial small subunit ribosomal RNA", at positions 29 to 506 of the family's 1533-position model. The record is from RNAcentral.
AACGAACGCUGGCGGCAUGCCUAACACAUGCAAGUCGAACGAGACCUUCGGGUCUAGUGGCGCACGGGUGCGUAACGCGUGGGAACCUGCCCUUAGGUUCGGAAUAACUCCCCGAAAGGGGUGCUAAUACCGGAUAAUGUCUUCGGACCAAAGAUUUAUCGCCUUUGGAUGGGCCCGCGUUGGAUUAGCUAGUUGGUAGGGUAAAAGCCUACCAAGGCGACGAUCCAUAGCUGGUCUGAGAGGAUGAUCAGCCACACUGGGACUGAGACACGGCCCAGACUCCGACGGGAGGCAGCAGUGGGGAAGAUUGGACAAUGGGCGAAAGCCUGAGCCAGCAAUGCCGCGUGAGUGAUGAAGGCCUUAGGGUUGUAAAGCUCUUUUACCCGGGAUGAUAAUGACAGUACCGGGAGAAUAAGCUCCGGCUAACUCCGU